UAGAGAAUCUUGUGCAAUAAACGAAAGUAUGACACAGAGAGGACACAUUUAAUUGAGCCCGUCAAAUUAAGUGCCAGCCGACGCGGUUAAACUUAAGGGCUGGUCUUUAUAAGUAAAAAGGCGUAAAGGAUGUGUAGGCCAAGAAACGACCCAAGUAGGUAAAUGGAAUUUUUCUGGAGCGGUAGAAUGUGAGAAUAGAAAAUAGAACCCCUAAGGUAAAAACUAUUUACCACAAGGUAGGCUGAAACAUGAGAGUGUGGGGAGCAAACAGGAUUAGAGACCCUGGUAGUCCACACUGUGAACUUUGAAGAUGAUGCUUAGCAAACCCGAAAGGUAAAAUCUUCCGCCUGAGUAGUACGAUCGCAAGAUUAAAAUUCAAAAACUUUGGCUGUUCACUAUUUCGAUUAGAGGAGCGUGUAGUUUAAUUCGAUGGUCCGCGUGUUACCUUACCCCAACUUGAAUCUGUGACCGGUAUUGCAUGGCCGUCGUAAGUUCGUGUAUUAAGCUAGAAGGGACCCAACCCGGGCAUUUGCCCGGAGGAAGUCAGGUCUUAUGAUCCGAAUGUUGGGGGAUUUUAUGCGCUACAUUUUCUUAUAUAAUGAGAAACCUGGAAGGUGAGUCUCUAAAGUAAGAGUUCGGAAGGUCGCUGUAAGACGACUGGAAGUUGGAUUUAAUAGUAAUCGGAAAGUAGGGCGUUCCGGUGAAUUGGUACAAGUGUUAGCACAAAUUGCCCGUCACCUUUACUUAGAAUGGUUAUUCGGAUGUCUUCGGUGAUUAUGAAUGCCUACGAAGUAAAGCAAGUCGUAACAUAG
Molecule: ribosomal RNA, 812 nt
Filed under: Entacmaea quadricolor
Lineage: Eukaryota; Metazoa; Cnidaria; Anthozoa; Actiniaria; Actiniidae
Description: partial 12S small subunit ribosomal RNA
Rfam family: Bacterial small subunit ribosomal RNA
Source: RNAcentral